RNAcentral lists this ribosomal RNA (792 nucleotides) under Morchella eximia. RNAcentral's name for it is "bacterial SSU rRNA". It matches the Rfam family "Bacterial small subunit ribosomal RNA", at positions 8 to 801 of the family's 1533-position model. The record is from RNAcentral. Lineage: Eukaryota; Fungi; Ascomycota; Pezizomycetes; Pezizales; Morchellaceae.
AGAGUUUGAUCCUGGCUCAGGAUGAACGCUAGCGGCAGGCUUAACACAUGCAAGUCGAGGGGUAUUUAUCUUCGGAUAGAGAGACCGGCGCACGGGUGCGUAACGCGUAUGCAAUCUACCUUUUACAGAGGGAUAGCCCAGAGAAAUUUGGAUUAAUACCUCAUAGUAUAAUGACCUGGCAUCAGGAUAUUAUUAAAGUCACAACGGUAAAAGAUGAGCAUGCGUCCCAUUAGCUAGUUGGUAAGGUAACGGCUUACCAAGGCUACGAUGGGUAGGGGUCCUGAGAGGGAGAUCCCCCACACUGGUACUGAGACACGGACCAGACUCCUACGGGAGGCAGCAGUGAGGAAUAUUGGACAAUGGGCGCAAGCCUGAUCCAGCCAUGCCGCGUGCAGGAUGACGGUCCUAUGGAUUGUAAACUGCUUUUAUACGAGAAGAAACACUGCUUCGUGAAGCAGCUUGACGGUAUCGUAAGAAUAAGGAUCGGCUAACUCCGUGCCAGCAGCCGCGGUAAUACGGAGGAUCCAAGCGUUAUCCGGAAUCAUUGGGUUUAAAGGGUCCGUAGGCGGUUUAAUAAGUCAGUGGUGAAAGCCCAUCGCUCAACGGUGGAACGGCCAUUGAUACUGUUAGACUUGAAUUAUUAGGAAGUAACUAGAAUAUGUAGUGUAGCGGUGAAAUGCUUAGAGAUUACAUGGAAUACCAAUUGCGAAGGCAGGUUACUACUAAUUGAUUGACGCUGAUGGACGAAAGCGUGGGUAGCGAACAGGAUUAGAUACCCUGGUAGUCCACGCC